UCAAUAUAUUGAAGAUUGGGA
RNAcentral lists this non-coding RNA (21 nucleotides) under Caenorhabditis elegans. Lineage: Eukaryota; Metazoa; Nematoda; Chromadorea; Rhabditida; Rhabditidae. The record is from RNAcentral.